This 414-nucleotide ribosomal RNA is filed under the name uncultured bacterium. Its description in RNAcentral is "bacterial SSU rRNA". It matches the Rfam family "Bacterial small subunit ribosomal RNA", at positions 92 to 518 of the family's 1533-position model. The record is from RNAcentral.
UGAGUGGCGGACGGGUGAGUAACGCGUGGGUAACCUGCCUCAUACAGAGGGAUAACAAGUUGGAAACGGCUAGCUAAUACCUCUAUAAGCGCACAGUACCGCAUGAUACGGUGUGAAAAACUCCGGUGGUAUGAGAUGGACCCGCGUCUGAUUAGCUAGGUUGGAGGGGUAACGGCCCACCAAGGCAACGAUCAGUAGCCGACUUGAGAGAGUGAUCGGCCACAUUGGGACUGAGACACGGCCCAAACUCCUACGGGAGGCAGCGAGUGGGGAAUAUUGCACAAUGGGGGGAACCCUGAAUGCAGCGACGCCGCGUGAAGGAUGAAGUAUUUCGGUAUGUAAACUUCUAUCAGCAAGGAAGAAAAUGACGGUACUUGACUAAGAAGCCCCGGCUAAAUACGUGCCAGCCGCCGC